Molecule: long non-coding RNA, 257 nt
Filed under: Ananas comosus (pineapple)
Lineage: Eukaryota; Viridiplantae; Streptophyta; Magnoliopsida; Poales; Bromeliaceae
Description: long non-coding RNA (ACOM_LNC017859)
Source: RNAcentral
AUUUCUUUUUUACGGCCCCGAUCUCACUCCCUAUUUUGUCUCAUAUGCGACAUUAACUAGUUCAUCUUAAUUACCGCCGUCUAUUCAUCAUUAUAGCCAACCUCGGAACUCGCUUCGAUGCGACGGUUCGACGCGACGGCCUUUUCUUCUUCACCAAGCUUUUGUUUCUUUUGUUUCUUUUUUGUUUUUUCUUUGUCUUCUCCGAUUUCUUUUAAUCUCCACCUGGCUUCUUUUCUCCUUUCCUUUUCUGACUAAUG